GCUUGCACAGGUGCUGCAUGGCUGUCGUCAGCUCGUGUCGUGAGAUGUUCGGUUAAGUCCGCUAACGAGCGCAACCCUCGCUGUGUGUUAUAUGUGUCACACGGGACUGCCGGUCUUAAGCCGGAGGAAGGUGGGGAUGAUGUCAAGUCAGCAUGGCCUUUAUAUCCUGGGCUACACACACGCUACAAUGGCCAACACAAUAGGUUGCUAAGCCGCGAGGUGGCGCCAAUCCAUAAAGUUGGUCUCAGUUCAGAUUGUAGGCUGCAACCCGCCUGCAUGAAGAUGGAGUUGCUAGUAACCGCAGGUCAGCUAUACUGCGGUGAAUACGUUCCCGGGGCUU
Molecule: ribosomal RNA, 340 nt
Filed under: uncultured Leptolinea sp.
Lineage: Bacteria; Bacillati; Chloroflexota; Anaerolineae; Anaerolineales; Anaerolineaceae
Description: bacterial SSU rRNA
Rfam family: Bacterial small subunit ribosomal RNA
Source: RNAcentral